UACGUAGGUGGCAAGCGUUGUCCGGAAUUAUUGGGCGUAAAGCGCGCGCAGGCGGUUCUUUAAGUCUGAUGUGAAAGCCCACGGCUCAACCGUGGAGGGUCAUUGGAAACUGGGGAACUUGAGUACAGAAGAGGAAAGCGGAAUUCCACGUGUAGCGGUGAAAUGCGUAGAGAUGUGGAGGAACACCAGUGGCGAAAGCGGCUCACUGGACCAUAACUGACGCUGAGGCACGAAAGCUAGGGGAGCAAACGGG
This 253-nucleotide ribosomal RNA is filed under the name uncultured bacterium. Its description in RNAcentral is "partial 16S ribosomal RNA". It matches the Rfam family "Bacterial small subunit ribosomal RNA", at positions 524 to 776 of the family's 1533-position model. The record is from RNAcentral.